Molecule: ribosomal RNA, 276 nt
Filed under: Escherichia coli
Lineage: Bacteria; Pseudomonadati; Pseudomonadota; Gammaproteobacteria; Enterobacterales; Enterobacteriaceae
Description: partial 23S ribosomal RNA
Rfam family: Bacterial large subunit ribosomal RNA
Source: RNAcentral
CGAAUGCUGACAUAAGUAACGAUAAAGCGGGUGAAAAGCCCGCUCGCCGGAAGACCAAGGGUUCCUGUCCAACGUUAAUCGGGGCAGGGUGAGUCGACCCCUAAGGCGAGGCCGAAAGGCGUAGUCGAUGGGAAACAGGUUAAUAUUCCUGUACUUGGUGUUACUGCGAAGGGGGGACGGAGAAGGCUAUGUUGGCCGGGCGACGGUUGUCCCGGUUUAAGCGUGUAGGCUGGUUUUCCAGGCAAAUCCGGAAAAUCAAGGCUGAGGCGUGAUGAC